RNAcentral lists this ribosomal RNA (492 nucleotides) under uncultured bacterium. Its description in RNAcentral is "partial 16S ribosomal RNA". It matches the Rfam family "Bacterial small subunit ribosomal RNA", at positions 28 to 507 of the family's 1533-position model. The record is from RNAcentral.
GAUGAACGCUAGCUACAGGCUUAACACAUGCAAGUCGAGGGGAAACGGCAUCGAAAGCUUGCUUUUGAUGGGCGUCGACCGGCGCACGGGUGAGUAACGCGUAUCCAACCUGCCCAUCACUUGGGAAUAACCUUGCGAAAGUAAGACUAAUGCCCAAUGACAUCCCACGAAGGCAUCCGAAUGGGAUUAAAGAUUUAUCGGUGAUGGAUGGGGAUGCGUCUGAUUAGCUUGUUGGCGGGGUGACGGCCCACCAAGGCAACGAUCAGUAGGGGUUCUGAGAGGAAGGUCCCCCACAUUGGAACUGAGACACGGUCCAAACUCCUACGGGAGGCAGCAGUGAGGAAUAUUGGUCAAUGGGCGAGAGCCUGAACCAGCCAAGUAGCGUGCAGGAGGACGGCCCUAUGGGUUGUAAACUGCUUUUAUAAGGGAAUAAAGUGGGUCACGUGUGACUUUUUGCAGGUACCUUAUGAAUAAGGACCGGCUAAUUCCGUG